UUUGGUGACUAUUGCAUAGGGGUCCACCUCUUCCCAUUCCGAACAGAGAAGUUAAGCCCUAUAGCGCUGAUGGUACUGGUUUUCCGGGAGAGUAAGUCGUUGCCUUUU
Molecule: ribosomal RNA, 108 nt
Filed under: Flavobacteriales bacterium
Lineage: Bacteria; Pseudomonadati; Bacteroidota; Flavobacteriia; Flavobacteriales
Source: RNAcentral